AUGAGUAAUGCUGCAAUAUCUAUUUGCUCUUGGAAUGUACAUGGCUUGGGUGACGAUGCCAAGUGCUAUGACGUCCUAUCUGAAUUGCUCGCGAUCAAACCUCACAUUGCCCUCCUGCAAGAAUCAAAACUCGAUACUUACUCCGACACCAAACUAAGAUCAUUCUUACCACGUCACCUCGACCAAGUCUUCUCGUUACCUGCCAUUGGCACGGCUGGCGGCACUAUUUCUGCCGCUAACACAAUUUCUCUCCAAGUUAUGUCGUACACUCACCUCACCUUCUCCUCCACCCUAAUUCUAAAAUCAAUGGCAUGUGCUCGCAACAUUGCCAUUACCAAUAUCUAUGCUCCCUCCUCACGUGCGCCCAAACAAUCCUUCCUGGAUGAGCUCUUAGCUAUCUCACAACCGGAUGAUUCUCCCUAGUUAAUUGUUGGAGACUUCAACCUCCUUCGCUUCCCCUCCGACAAAAACAACAAUGCCUUUAGACAGUCAGAGGCCAAUGUGUUCAAUCAAACCAUAGACGACCUAGCUCUUAUCGAGCUGCCACUCCUUGAUCGCCAAUUUACAUGAUCAAACAAUGGAGCAACGCCCACCUUAGAACGGAUCGACCGUGCUUUUUUUAACGUAGCUUGGGUCGAUGCCUUUCCUAACACAUCUCUAUCAUCGCUCACACGAUUCACGUCCGACCAUGUCCUCUCCUCAUACACAACACCACAAAGAUCCCUCGGUCUAACUUUUUCAAAUUUGAGCCUGGUUGGGCCAAUUUCCGUCCAUGUAAUGAUAUUGUUAGGAAAUGCUGGGCACCAACCCAGCCCACAUCAGCCAACUCGGGCGCCACCCUUGCUUCCUCGCUCAAAAAAUCACGGGAGUGCCUCAAAAAAUUGGCACGUUCACGCAUCCCUACACCCCUCCGCGAAUCUCAUUGCAAAACUGCAAUCUCUGCCUUAG
This 948-nucleotide ribosomal RNA is filed under the name Triticum aestivum (bread wheat). RNAcentral describes it as "partial small subunit ribosomal RNA". Lineage: Eukaryota; Viridiplantae; Streptophyta; Magnoliopsida; Poales; Poaceae. The record is from RNAcentral.